GGGAAUUUGGCUUAGUGGUAAAAGUGCUUGCCUACCAUGCAUGAAGCCCUGGGUUCAAUUCCUCAGUACCA
Dipodomys ordii (Ord's kangaroo rat) is the source of this 71-nucleotide non-coding RNA. The record is from Rfam. NCBI's taxonomy places the organism in Eukaryota, Metazoa, Chordata, Mammalia, Rodentia, Heteromyidae.